UGACAUAUACCUUUGGCGCCGUGU
RNAcentral lists this non-coding RNA (24 nucleotides) under Arabidopsis thaliana (thale cress). The record is from RNAcentral. Lineage: Eukaryota; Viridiplantae; Streptophyta; Magnoliopsida; Brassicales; Brassicaceae.